This 74-nucleotide transfer RNA is filed under the name Acidobacteriota bacterium. RNAcentral's name for it is "Acidobacteria bacterium tRNA-Ala". It matches the Rfam family "tRNA". From Rfam's summary of the family: Transfer RNA (tRNA) molecules are approximately 80 nucleotides in length. Their secondary structure includes four short double-helical elements and three loops (D, anti-codon, and T loops). Lineage: Bacteria; Pseudomonadati; Acidobacteriota. RNAcentral also lists the same sequence under 1 other name. The record is from RNAcentral.
GGGGGAGUCGUCCAACGGGAGGACGGCUGGCCUGCACCCAGCAAAUGAGGGUUCGAUUCCCUCCUCUUCCACCA